RNAcentral lists this long non-coding RNA (1613 nucleotides) under Citrus sinensis (sweet orange). RNAcentral's name for it is "long non-coding RNA (CSIN_LNC001092)". The record is from RNAcentral. Lineage: Eukaryota; Viridiplantae; Streptophyta; Magnoliopsida; Sapindales; Rutaceae.
UCUGUAAUCAUCAUAACGCAUGCAUAUGCCCCCAAAAGGCAAAAGCGCCCAAACACACGGCCCAAAGCCUCUAUGUGUGUUCAGACGGGCCCCAAAGGCCUCUCAUCUCAUCUCAUCUGCAUCAUUGUAUCUGGAGGGAAGGGUACUGUCUAAUGAUUUAAAAAACAAUCAUUAUACUCAUAUUCACAUACCUCUUAACCAUAUUUUAAAUCAUACCACAUUUGAAUCCACUUUUCUUAUCUUUAAAAUACUAUCAUGCUUAUUCAAAGUCAAUACGCAAAAUCAUUAACCAAACAUUUUAAUAAAAUACCAAUGCGUGAAUAAAAUCCAGUUCGAGGAAAUCAUUAAAUCAGAACAUUUAAAAUACUUAUUUCACAAACAUGCAUUACUAUCAUAAUUAACUAUGAAAAUAGGUUUUGCAUAUUCUACUCACAGUGACGGUGUUCACGGUCGGUUAUCGUCCACGUCUGCGGACCGGUUCUCGCUCGCGGAUCCUCCGAAAUGCCCUAGCCGGUCAACGGUCACCGGAAUUUGGUCAACGCUGGCCGGAAAACUCAAGUCUAAAAGUUCCAAUCACGCUGAGUUCAAUGGUACUGGCGAUGAGCUCCAACGCGCGGUAACGAAGUCGGAAUCUAGCUCGGCAGCCGUGAAUUCCAACAAUCGACUGGCGGCAAAACAGUUAUUCUCGGUGGCUAUGGAUGGUCGGAAAUGGAAGAGGGAGUCGUGAGGAACAAAAUCCAACCGGUGGUGUCACCCAAAACCGGCAAAAAUCCCGGCGGAGCAAAGUGAAACAGUCGCGGGUUUCAAGCUUCGAUCGCCGGUGUUCCGAUUAGUUUCGGCGACGAGGAUGGCAAGGGGACGACGUCCGACUUCUAAGCUUCAGAUUGGUACCAAGCUCGGCUGAAAUGGUGGCCAAAAAUGGAAGUUAUGGCCGGGUCACGUUCGCGGGUCGGGUCGGGUUUUCGGGUCUGUAGUUGGGUCGGUUUGGCAGCUUCUCUCUCACUCUCUGUUACACGUGCAUAUGUUUCCUCUGUUUCCAGCUUAUUAUUUUACUUAUAAAAUCCUUAACCGCAGUCCCCAUGGGACAAAAGCGCCCAAGCACACGGCUCAAAGCCUCUGUGUGUACUCAGACAGGCCCCAAAGCCCUGUAUCUCAUCUGUAUCUCAAUAUAUGUCUGUAUCUCAUAUUUAUAUAUCUGUAAUCAUCAUAACGCAUGCAUAUGCCCCCAAAAGGCAAAAGCGCCCAAACACACGGCCCAAAGCCUCUAUGUGUGUUCAGACGGGCCCCAAAGGCCUCUCAUCUCAUCUCAUCUGCAUCAUUGUAUCUGGAGGGAAGGGUACUGUCUAAUGAUUUAAAAAACAAUCAUUAUACUCAUAUUCACAUACCUCUUAACCAUAUUUUAAAUCAUACCACAUUUGAAUCCACUUUUCUUAUCUUUAAAAUACUAUCAUGCUUAUUCAAAGUCAAUACGCAAAAUCAUUAACCAAACAUUUUAAUAAAAUACCAAUGCGUGAAUAAAAUCCAGUUCGAGGAAAUCAUUAAAUCAGAACAUUUAAAAUACUUAUUUCACAAACAUGCAUUACUAUCAUAAUUAACUAUGAAAAUAGGUUUUG